RNAcentral lists this non-coding RNA (87 nucleotides) under Lawsonibacter asaccharolyticus. Its description in RNAcentral is "yjdF RNA". It matches the Rfam family "azaaromatic riboswitch aptamer (yjdF RNA)", at positions 7 to 90 of the family's 101-position model. The record is from RNAcentral. Lineage: Bacteria; Bacillati; Bacillota; Clostridia; Eubacteriales; Oscillospiraceae.
GGGAAUAAAAACACAUCAUGGUUGGUAGUCCAUGAGCGGGCCGCGCUCCCGUCAGUAGCCCUCCCUCCCGGGUCGUCCGUUUCCCGA